Molecule: long non-coding RNA, 560 nt
Organism: Aricia agestis (brown argus)
Lineage: Eukaryota; Metazoa; Arthropoda; Insecta; Lepidoptera; Lycaenidae
Exons: 3
Source: RefSeq, a predicted model, not a curated record
GGCGAGCGGCCGAUCAGACCCACCCCGGCUCCGCGCGAGCUCGCCGCGAUCGACGUUUGACAUUCGGCCGCGCGACAACACGACGUGAAACUCGAGUCGACUAGGAAUUGCACGUCGAGCUUUCUUGGAAUUGCAAAAAUAUUUUAACUCCUUUACUCAAGUAAAAUUGCGGCUAAACUUGUGUUACAAAUUUUUUGCGAAAAAACUUUUUGGAGUACGUCCAUGACUUAAAAUAUUUUGUAAAUAAAUCGUGUGGUGCCGAGGAAAAUGUUCGAGUGCUAAAUUAUAAAUUUGUGUUCCGGUGACUGUAAAAGACCGCCGAGGACUCGUUCUCCUCUUUACGGCCCAUUAAGCCGCCCGAGGAAAGAACCGAAAAAAGGACUCGCGUCCGUUCAUCGCUGUGAUAAAAUUUAUGACAAACGAUUUGUUCAAUGACUGGUAUAUUAAUGUACAAUUACAUUGAAACGAAACAAUGAUUUGGUGGCCACGCGCACGAGUGAAGGGUGUACUAGGAUGAGCGGAGGGUGUCAGGGGCGGAGCGCGCGCGCACAGCAGCGGGC